GAUCCGGUUCUUUUCUCUCCACCAGAGAGCGCCAGGAUCCCCAGAGGUGCUGAUGCUGGGACUCGCCAGGAGUGAGCGCUUCUCCCGAGCAGCACAAACACCCGUGAGCCCCUCAGACAAAUGCCUGAGGACACUGAGACCAGCUGGCUUUGGGAAUGUGGGACUUCAGAAAGGACUUGGGUCACAGCGUGCUCUCCUCUGUAUCUCACACUCUGCUGCUGUUGUCACCAGACUUUCUCUGACCUCUUCUUGUGCCUCGUUGUCCUUUGUUCCUUCAGCCUGCAAGCCCCAGCAUGGUUUUUUCCUUCCAGCAGAAGCAUCCCUGGAUUUCAGUAAUCCCAGCAGGUUUUUGACACCAGUGGACUUCACUGGAGAGAUGCACGUGGCUGGAUGAGAGCCUGAACCCUCAACUAUCAGCUCAGGCUGCUGACUACAAUCAUGACACUGAAGAGCUGAAUCCAUCCCAGAUCCUGGACUGACAAAACAAAUAAAUUGUUAAGGGUUUAUCAAUUUAAAGGAAAUUUGUCAGCAGAAACUGACUUUCAAUGUACUCUUUCAACACGUGCAAAAUGGAAGGGAAAUAAAAGUUGUGUACGUUGCUUCAUUACA
Long non-coding RNA from Melospiza melodia melodia, 609 nucleotides. RefSeq lists it as uncharacterized. Lineage: Eukaryota; Metazoa; Chordata; Aves; Passeriformes; Passerellidae. The record is from RefSeq and is a predicted model, not a curated record. The transcript is spliced from 2 exons.